Molecule: ribosomal RNA, 379 nt
Filed under: Amblema elliottii
Lineage: Eukaryota; Metazoa; Mollusca; Bivalvia; Unionida; Unionidae
Description: partial 16S ribosomal RNA
Rfam family: Bacterial large subunit ribosomal RNA
Source: RNAcentral
AAACGGCCGCGUUAGCGUGAGCGUGCUAAGGUAGCGUAAUAAAUAGCCUUUUAAUUGGAGGCCAGUGAAUGGCAAGACUAGGGAUUCCUGUACCCUGUAUGCUAAAAAAACUUUUCGUCUGAGUGAAAAGACUCAGAUAGUAAAGGAAGACGAAAAGACCCCGCGGAACUUUACCUUUUCAGUCUCCACGUGCUCAGAAACACUAAAAACAAAAGGUUUGAUUGGGGCAAUCUCGGAACCAACCAAACUUCCGAUCUAUUCCACAAAAUAUACAAAACUAUCUAAGGACCAAAUAGAAGUUACCCCGGGGAUAACAGCGUAAUCUAAUUUGAGAGUACACAUCGAAAAUUAGGUUUGCGACCUCGAUGUUGGCUUAAGG